Molecule: ribosomal RNA, 374 nt
Filed under: Prionodon pardicolor
Lineage: Eukaryota; Metazoa; Chordata; Mammalia; Carnivora; Viverridae
Description: partial 12S ribosomal RNA
Rfam family: Bacterial small subunit ribosomal RNA
Source: RNAcentral
GCUUAGCCCUAAACCUAGAUGAUUCACUUAACAAAAUCAUUCGCCAGAGAACUACUAGCAACAGCUUAAAACUCAAAGGACUUGGCGGUGCUUUAUAUCCCUCUAGAGGAGCCUGUUCUAUAAUCGAUAAACCCCGAUAUACCUCACCACCCCUUGCUAAUCCAGUUUAUAUACCGCCAUCUUCAGCAAACCCUUAAAAGGAAUAAAAGUAAGCAUAAGUAUCUUUAACAUAAAAAAGUUAGGUCAAGGUGUAACCUAUGAGGUGGGAAGUAAUGGGCUACAUUUUCUGAACCAGAACACCCCUAAACGAAAGUUCUUAUGAAACUAAGAACUAAAGGAGGAUUUAGCAGUAAAUUGAGAACAGAGCGCUCAAU